Molecule: ribosomal RNA, 254 nt
Filed under: uncultured prokaryote
Description: partial 16S ribosomal RNA
Rfam family: Bacterial small subunit ribosomal RNA
Source: RNAcentral
UACGUAGGCAGCGAGCGUUGUUCGGAGUUACUGGGCGUAAAGGGUGUGUAGGCGGUUGUUUAAGUUUGGUGUGAAAUCUCCCGGCUCAACUGGGAGGGUGCGCCGAAUACUGAAUGACUUGGAGUGCGGGAGAGGAGAGUGGAAUUCCUGGUGUAGCGGUGAAAUGCGUAGAUAUCGAGAGGAACACCUGCGGCGAAGGCGGGUUGCUGGGCCGACACUGACGCUGAAGUGCGAAAGCUAGGGGAGCGAACGGG